UCAAACAAGCUGGGGUGCCGUUAUGGCUGAGAUAAUACCCAUGGAACCUAAGCAGGGUAAUGCCUGCCGGGGAGCUUGGUUUGUUUACGA
This 90-nucleotide non-coding RNA is filed under the name Weissella confusa. RNAcentral's name for it is "TPP sequence". It matches the Rfam family "TPP riboswitch aptamer (THI element)". From Rfam's summary of the family: Vitamin B(1) in its active form thiamin pyrophosphate (TPP) is an essential coenzyme that is synthesised by coupling of pyrimidine and thiazole moieties in bacteria. The record is from RNAcentral. Lineage: Bacteria; Bacillati; Bacillota; Bacilli; Lactobacillales; Lactobacillaceae.